This is a small nucleolar RNA of Malania oleifera, 105 nucleotides long. The record is from RefSeq and is a predicted model, not a curated record. Lineage: Eukaryota; Viridiplantae; Streptophyta; Magnoliopsida; Santalales; Ximeniaceae.
ACCUGAUGAUGUGGGCAUUGAUGUAAAGAUCCUUAAAAUGCUUCCAAGUCUCAAAGAAAAUUUCCUUAUCCAUCUUUGAAAAACUAGUAAUGGCUCUCUGAAGCU